CGGCCGGGGCCGCGGCGCGCGGAAGCCACUUUGCACGGCCAGCGCCGGGCACAAGUUAGUUAGUUGCCGGGCUCCCGGGGGCCUCCACGCUGAGGGAGAAUAACGCUAAGACGUUUGGGGGGAGAGAGGCGCCAAGGGGCAAAAGAGUGGGGAAAAGUGCGAAAAGAAGCAACAGCCGCUCCACCCGGGACCAGAAAAGUGGCCGGUCGUGUCCCGGCCGCCCGCUCUGCGCCGGGGAUGCGGCGGCGGCGGCGGCGGCUAACGGUCCAGGGAGGCGGCAGGGGCGGCAAGAGCCGCUAGGCGGAGAGAGACCAGGUGAUACGUGGCUCCCAUAGGCAGUUAGCAGCACAGAUGCUGUUUUCUUCCAGGCCAUUUAGAGCAUCCUUCUGACUCUUCACCUUCCUUUAAAGGACUUGAAGAUAAUUUAAGUUUCUAAUCUAUCACAAUAGAGCUGUUUACCCCAUAAGGUUAAUUUAUGGUAAAUGGUUUUCAUCACCAACUAUUAUUAUGGAGAAUGAGGCAUGAGAAGAAGAAAUCAAGUGGCAAUCUAAAGGGCCACAUCUGUAACUCACAGCUCCAGAACUGCAUCAUCUUGCUGCAUUAUCUUAUUCCUGCAUUCCUAAGCUCCUCUCUGAAUUUCUGGACUGGAACCUUACCUUGCUAACACAGAAUUUGCAGCAAUUAGAAAACUCUGUUCCUUCUGAAGUCUCAAGUAGAAGUCUUCUAGGACAGAUUGCUGUAACCCACCGGGUCAGGUGAAAACCUUGGAAUGUUGCAUGGGCACCACUUCAGGUGGCUGACAAACGUCAAGAAUCUCAGAGUUUGAAAGAAAUCAGUACAAGCUCAUUGCAGCAAAUGCCCCUGUGUACCCCAUACCAGGUGAUAAACUAGGACUUAAAGAAACAAGACUCACAGCCCUUUGUGGUCACGGGUGCUAGUUACAAGGAAACAGCUCACUAUGACUGGCUCAUCAAUGCCACUGAGCUCAGCGGAAUAACCUAGCUUCUAGAAAGAGAAGGAUGUCAAGUUUAUGCUGAAGAGUGUGGAGAAGCUUACUUGGUGACGGGCCCUUUGAGGGGACACACCUGCAUGCUGUUGAUCUGCUCAUUCUCUAGGACUAAAGUGAAAUGUUGCUCCCCUAGUUUCUCCACAAGAUGGAAAAUUCUGUGACAUCUUUCAUACAAUUCUGCAGGCAGCCUAAAAGGAGUCAGCCACCACCAGAAGCCAUGCCAACCUCAUAACCCAUCCUCGUAUUGGUUUCCCAUCUUCUCUGCUUGGUUCAUCUUGUCCCUGUCUCCUGCUCACUAGGUAACACUCCCCAUGGAAGUAUUAGUCUCAGGGUCUGCCUGCUAGAAGAUGGCUAAGUCCUAGUUUUUUUUCUUUUUUUAUUAAUCAGGGUACAGUGUCUAAGCUGUCUCAACACCCCCUCAUAUCAGCCCUCCUUUCACUGUCAGUAGGCAGUUAGUAUGUUUUAGAUAUGGGGAAUGAGGUUGCUGUAGCCCUGCUUUGGACACGGUACAUCUCGGUGAAAGCGGUGAACUGUGAUUGUCUUUGUUUCAGUCACAGAAGGCCUGGGAUGAAGUCUACAGCUCGCAUCUGGCAUCUGGCCAGCAACAUUGGCCAUGUGCUUUUGUCUACUAACUUUAACCUGGCUCUGUUUGAUUUUUCCAAUCUGUAUUUUUAACUUCCUCCCAAGUUUUUAUUUGUUCAUUUUAUCUUGUUCUAUUUAUGGAUUUGAGGGAUAUAAAUAAGUAAAGAACCAUGUGAGCAAGACUUUUUUAAAAAUAUCAUAUGCCCAGAAUCACAUAUGUUACCCUUGCCAUGUAACAAAACUUCAGAAAAUCAUGGUUUUUAAAAUUAGCAGAAGAAAACUUUAUUGUCUUCUUUAAUAUAAAUUUGUUUAAUCACUUAUAAGCCUCUGAAUUCAUAUUUGUGAAUUUUUGAUUAUUUUCUUAAUUUUGAAGAAGUAAGCAGUAGAUAGGAAAGAUAAAAACUAAAUAAGAGCAUAGUCUACCAUUGACCCCACAGUUUGAUUGUGGGUUUGUAACUUGACCAUUCUUAACCUUUUUUUUUUUUUUUCAUCUAAAUUACAGAAAGUUUGGGUAUGUGACAAUAAUGGGUCACAUGAUCAGAAUUUGGCUUAUAUGGGAAUCCAGGAAGUCAUAAAGGGUACCCAUGGAAGCACUAUUAACAGUAAUGAACAAUUUUAAGUGUACUAGUAGAAAGUAAAUUCAAAACAAUGGACAAGCAUCGCAGCCUGACUUCAAACUACUGAUUAAAUAAAUGUGCCUCAGAAAUGUCAGGCAAACUGAAAGGGCCUACUGACAUGUGGAUCUUGCUGGCAGGGGAAAGAAGAAUAUGUCACAAUCCAAGUAUACCUGAGGGGAAUUGGGUUGAGGAGCAACAUAGAAUUACUUUGGUUAUUGUCCCAUCCCAAUGGGCUCAACUCUGGGUCCCAAGGAAAUAGCUCUCUCACAAAAGAGAGGGUAGUGCGAACACAGGUUUGGGGAUGCCUUCUGGGGUUUGCCGGGAGCACAGAGAACUGUGUAGUGUUCCCUACAGUCCUUGAAGUGUUUUAAUAGUCAGGGGCAUCAAUAAGAACAAGCAAAUAGAACUGAGAAAACCGUCCAUGACUUCAGUCAUGCAGGUCCCAAGGAUGCCCGGAAAUAAUUAUUAUGAAGGCCGUUAGAUUUGAAGGCACCAAGAUCCACAUUAAGCAGGUAGAAUCAAGAGCACAAGAUCCACAUUAAGCAGGUAGAAUAAAGACAUGCAGAAUUCCCCAUGCUACCCAAAAGUAGAAUGUUCCUAUUUGAUGUGAUUUAGUAGGUUAUUUUUUGUAUCUUGGAAUGCUCAAAAGUUUUUCCGUAUAAAUUAAUGGUAAUAGCAUUCCCAGACACACACAAAUAAGCUACCAAAUCAUACCAUGUAGCAAUGUUCUCCUUUCAGACAGUAAAGAAAACCUGUAGAUACCAUCCAAGUCUCCCUCCAAGAAUAAAGCCCAUUCCUCCAGCUGCUAAAAAUGUCCUGGUAGACUGCCGUCAGCUGAGGGAAUUGCUUACCCCAAGUCAUGCUUCCUUCUAGGGACAACAGGAAGUGGUUGCAGGACAAGGGGUAGGGAAGAGGUUCUUGCCAAUAUAUCACAUCCAAAGUAAAAUAUAAGUUUUGCAUCUUACAACUCCCACCACAAAAAGUUGAAGUACAAAAUCUGAGGAAUAUAUUUGAGUUCUGGAAGAAGUAUAUUCCACACCUGGGGAAACUAUUUUGGUGUUUAACUUUGAACAGUUUUGAGAAGAUAGAACAAGACCAGGAUUUACACCAGAUCUAGGUUUCAUUGCAAGCAAUCCUACCACUCAACCAUAUGAGCCAAUGGGUUUCUGAGCAUUAGAGGUGCUAGUGGUGGAAAAAGGUGUCAUGCGGAAUUUUUGGCAAGUCCCAAUCAGAAGAUCAUGAUGGAGAAUCUAGGAUACUGAAGUGAAUCUAUGCCAAUCUGUAGCAACAAAGUUUACAACUUUUGAACAGCGCUGGCAUGCUAUGGUGACCUAGCAGAGAAAGAGCACCUAAGCAUGGGACACCCCAUGACCACAUGACUAAAGCAGCCCACCUGAUUGGGUUCUGGCAGAACCAGCACAUUUUAGAUGGGAUAGCCCAAGAAACACUCAUCGCAAGACCAGCCUGGUAUCUGGGAUGAAGCACAAGCAAGAUAGAGGACAAACUCAGACUGCAAAAAGUGUCCCAUGUCACCUGCUGCCACUGAACUAGCAUCUUCCCUUCAGCACACACCCAUGGUCACAUGGGGGACUCUGUAGGGUCAAUUGAUUAGGGGGAAAGGAGCUUAAGUUUGCUUCACGGGUGGGCCAGCUCUAUACACGUUUGCAGCUGAAAAU
Condylura cristata (star-nosed mole) is the source of this 3884-nucleotide long non-coding RNA. RefSeq lists it as uncharacterized. The record is from RefSeq and is a predicted model, not a curated record. Lineage: Eukaryota; Metazoa; Chordata; Mammalia; Eulipotyphla; Talpidae. The transcript is spliced from 7 exons.